This 452-nucleotide ribosomal RNA is filed under the name uncultured Paludibacter sp. RNAcentral describes it as "partial 16S ribosomal RNA". It matches the Rfam family "Bacterial small subunit ribosomal RNA", at positions 341 to 792 of the family's 1533-position model. The record is from RNAcentral. Lineage: Bacteria; Pseudomonadati; Bacteroidota; Bacteroidia; Bacteroidales; Paludibacteraceae.
ACGGAAGGCAGCAGUGAGGAAUAUUGGUCAAUGGGCGCAAGCCUGAACCAGCCAAGUCGCGUGAAGGAAGACUGCCCUAUGGGUUGUAAACUUCUUUUGCAUGGGAAUAAAGUGGGCCACGUGUGGCUUUUGUAUGUACCAUGCGAAUAAGCAUCGGCUAACUCCGUGCCAGCAGCCGCGGUAAUACGGAGGAUGCGAGCGUUAUCCGGAUUUAUUGGGUUUAAAGGGUGCGUAGGCGGGAUGGUAAGUCAGUGGUGAAAGUUUGCGGCUCAACCGUAAAUUGCCGUUGAAACUGCCGUUCUUGAGUGCGAGCGAGGUAGGCGGAAUGUGCCGUGUAGCGGUGAAAUGCAUAGAUAUGGUACAGAACUCCGAUUGCGAAGGCAGCCUACCAGUACGCUACUGACGCUGAGGCACGAAAGCGUGGGUAUCGAACAGGAUUAGAUACCCUGGUA